This 414-nucleotide ribosomal RNA is filed under the name uncultured prokaryote. RNAcentral's name for it is "bacterial SSU rRNA". It matches the Rfam family "Bacterial small subunit ribosomal RNA", at positions 505 to 918 of the family's 1533-position model. The record is from RNAcentral.
GUGUCAGCCGCCGCGGUAAUACGAAGGGGGCUAGCGUUGCUCGGAAUUACUGGGCGUAAAGGGCGCGUAGGCGGCGCAGUUAGUCAGGCGUGAAAUUCCUGGGCUUAACCUGGGGACUGCGCUUGAUACGGCUGUGCUAGAGGGUGGAAGAGGCUCGCGGAAUUCCCAGUGUAGAGGUGAAAUUCGUAGAUAUUGGGAAGAACACCGGUCGCGAAGGCGGCGAGCUGGUCCAUUACUGACGCUGAGGCGCGACAGCGUGGGGAGCAAACAGGAUUAGAUACCCUGGUAGUCCACGCCGUAAACGAUGUGCGCUGGAUGUUGGGUGGCCUAGCCACUCAGUGUCGUAGCCAACGCGGUAAGCGCACCGCCUGGGGAGUACGGCCGCAAGGUUGAAACUCAAAUGAAUUGACGGGG